GAUGAACGCUGACGGCGUGCCUAAUACAUGCAAGUCGAGCGAACGGACGAGAAGCUUGCUUCUCUGAUGUUAGCGGCGGACGGGUGAGUAACACGUGGAUAACCUACCUAUAAGACUGGGAUAACUUCGGGAAACCGGAGCUAAUACCGGAUAAUAUUUUGAACCGCAUGGUUCAAAAGUGAAAGACGGUCUUGCUGUCACUUAUAGAUGGAUCCGCGCUGCAUUAGCUAGUUGGUAAGGUAACGGCUUACCAAGGCAACGAUGCAUAGCCGACCUGAGAGGGGGAUCGGCCACACUGGAACUGAGACACGGUCCAGACUCCUACGGGAGGCAGCAGUAGGGAAUCUUCCGCAAUGGGCGAAAGCCUGACGGAGCAACGCCGCGUGAGUGAUGAAGGUCUUCGGAUCGUAAAACUCUGUUAUUAGGGAAGAACAUAUGUGUAAGUAACUGUGCACAUCUUGACGGUACCUAAUCAGAAAGCCACGGCUAACUACGU
Molecule: ribosomal RNA, 496 nt
Filed under: uncultured bacterium
Lineage: Bacteria
Description: partial 16S ribosomal RNA
Rfam family: Bacterial small subunit ribosomal RNA
Source: RNAcentral